This 445-nucleotide ribosomal RNA is filed under the name uncultured bacterium. RNAcentral describes it as "partial 16S ribosomal RNA". It matches the Rfam family "Bacterial small subunit ribosomal RNA", at positions 354 to 796 of the family's 1533-position model. The record is from RNAcentral.
GUGAGGAAUAUUGGUCAAUGGACGGAAGUCUGAACCAGCCAUGCCGCGUGCAGGAAUAAGGUCCUAUGGAUUGUAAACUGCUUUUAUUCGGGAAUAAACCUCUUUACGUGUAGGGAGCUGAAGGUACCGAAGGAAUAAGCACCGGCUAACUCCGUGCCAGCAGCCGCGGUAAUACGGAGGGUGCAAGCGUUAUCCGGAAUCAUUGGGUUUAAAGGGUCCGCAGUCGGGAUAUUAAGUCAGAUGUGAAAUCCCACAGCUUAACUGUGGAACUGCCUUUGAAACUGAUGGUCUUGAAUUAAGUGGGCGUUGGCGGAAUAUGACAUGUAGCGGUGAAAUGCAUAGAUAUGUCAUGGAACACCGAAAGCGAAGGCAGCUAACGAUACUUAUAUUGACGCUCAUGGACGAAAGCGUGGGUAGCGAACAGGAUUAGAAACCCUGGUAGUCC